Callithrix jacchus (white-tufted-ear marmoset) is the source of this 2107-nucleotide RNA transcript. It is a transcript of the gene named CLIP-associating protein 1 pseudogene, with no coding region annotated. NCBI's taxonomy places the organism in Eukaryota, Metazoa, Chordata, Mammalia, Primates, Cebidae. The record is from RefSeq and is a predicted model, not a curated record.
AUGAAAGUUUUAAGCACAAGUACAGACCUUGAAGCUGCUGUUGCUGAUGCUUUGCUGUUAGGAGACUCCAGGAGCAAGAAGAAGCCUGUGAGGAGGAGGUAUGAGCCGUAUGGGAUGUAUUCUGACGAUGACGCCAACCGUGAGGCCUCAAGUGUUUGCUCUGAGCGCUCAUAUGGCUCCAGGAAUGGUGGCAUUCCCCAUUAUCUGCGGCAGACCGAGGAUGCAGCAGAAGUUCUCAACCACUGUGCUAGUUCAAACUGGUCAGAAAGGAAAGAAGGGCUUCUGGGCCUGCAGAACCUACUAAAGAGCCAAAGAACACUGAGUCGAGUUGAACUGAAAAGACUGUGUGAGAUUUUCACCCGGAUGUUUGCCGAUCCUCACAGCAAGAGAGUUUUCAGUAUGUUUUUGGAGACUCUUGUGGAUUUCAUAAUAAUUCAUAAGGAUGACUUGCAAGACUGGCUUUUUGUUCUUCUCACACAAUUACUUAAGAAAUGGGAGCAGAUUUACUUGGAACUGUGCAAGCAAAAGUCCAAAAGGCUCUAGAUGUCACCAGGGACUCCUUUCCAUUUGAUCAACAAUUUAACAUUUUGAUGAGAUUUAUUGUGGAUCAAACUCAAACUCCAAACCUCAAGGUCAGAGUUGCAAUCCUGAAAUAUAUUGAGUCUCUGGCCAGACAGAUGGAUCCAAGGCUUGCUGUUUCUAGAAUCAUAACCUGGAUAACAGAACCAAAGAGUUCAGACAUGAGAAAGGCAGCACAAAUUGUGCUAAUCUCUCUGUUUGAAUUGAAUACUCCUGAAUUUACCAUGUUACUUGGUGCCUUGCCAAAAACAUUCCAGGAUGGUGCCACCAAACUCCUGCAUAACCACCACAAGAAUUCCAGUAACACCAGUGUGGGCUCUCCAAGCAAUACGAUUGGCCGAACACCCUCCCGACACACCAGCAGCAGGACCAGCCCCCUGAUCUCACCUACCAACUGUUCCCAUGGGGGUCUGUCUCCAAGCAUGCUGGACUAUGAUACAGAGAACCUGAACUCUGAAGAAAUCUAUAGUUCUCUAUGUGGAGUUACAGAAGCCAUUGAAAAGUUUAGUUUUCGAAGCCCAGAAGAUCUGAAUGAACCAAUUAAACGAGAUGGCAAAAAGGAGUGUGAUAUUGUGUCCCGCAAUGGGGGCACUGCCUCUCUUGCCACCGAGGGCCGUGGGGGCAGCGAGGUAGAAGGAGGCCGGAAAGCUCUGGAUAACAAGACCUCGCUACUCAACACCCAGCCUCUGCGUGCCUUCCCGGGGCUGCAGGCGUGAGAGUACAACCCGUACCCUUACUCAGAUGCCAUCAACACCUACGACAAGACUGUCCUGAAGGAGGCUGUGUUUGAUGACGACAUGGAGCACCAUUCUGACCUGGUGGCUGACCUUCUGAAAGAGCUGUCCAACCACAACGAGUGGGUGGAGGAACGGAAAGGAGCCCUGCUGGAGCUGCUCAAAAUCACAUGGGAAGACAGCCUUGGCGUCUGGGAGGAGCACUUCAAGACCAUUCUGCUCCUGCUGCUGGAGACCCUUGGAGACAAAGACCUUUCAAUUUGAGCACUGGCAUUGAGAGUUUUGAGGGAAAUUCUGAGAAAUCAACCAGCAAGAUUUAAAAACUACGCUGAGCUGACGAUUAUGAAGACUCUGGAAGCCCACAAAGACUCCCAUAAGAAGGUGGUGAGAGCGGCUGAGGAGGCUGCGUCCACACUAGCCAGUUCCAUCCACCCAGAGCAGUGCAUCAAGGUGCUCUGACCCAUCAUCCAGACGGCCGACUAUCCCAUCAACCUUGCUGCCAUCAAGAUGCAGACCAAAGUCGUCGAGAGGAUCGCCAAGGAGUCGUUGCUGCAGCUCCUCGCUGACAUCAUCCAAGGCUUGCUGAAGGGUUAUGACAACACUGAAAGUAGUGUGCAUAAGGCCAGUGUGCUUUGCUUAGUGGCAAUUCAUUCCGUAAUCAGAGAAGACCUGAAACCUCACCUCGCACAGCUCACAGGGAGCAAGAUGAAGCUACUAAACUUAUAUAUAUAAAGAGGGCCCAGACCACCAACAGCAACAGCAGCUCCUCCUCCGAUGUCUCCACGCACAGCUAA